UCCUACGGGAGGCAGCAGUGGGGAAUAUUGCACAAUGGGCGGAAGCCUGAUGCAGCAACGCCGCGUGCGGGAUGACGGCCUUCGGGUUGUAAACCGCUUUCAUCCAUGACGAAGCUUUUUGUGACGGUAGUGGAAGAAGAAGCACCGGCUAACUACGUGCCAGCAGCCGCGGUGAUACGUAGGGUGCGAGCGUUGUCCGGAUUUAUUGGGCGUAAAGAGCUUGUAGGCGGUUUGUCGCGUCGGGAGUGAAAACUCAGGGCUUAACCCUGAGCCUGCUUUCGAUACGGGCAGACUUGAGGAAGGUAGGGGAGAAUGGAAUUCCUGGUGGAGCGGUGGAAUGCGCAGAUAUCAGGAGGAACACCAGUGGCGAAGGCGGUUCUCUGGACCUUUCCUGACGCUGAGAAGCGAAAGCGUGGGGAGCAAACAGGCUUAGAUACCCUGGUAGUCCACGCCGUAAACGGUGGGWACUAGGUGUGGGGGACAUUCCACGUUCUCCGUGCCGCAGCUAACGCAUUAAGUACCCCGCCUGGGGAGUACGGCCGCAAGGCUAAAACUCAAAGGAAUUGACGGA
RNAcentral lists this ribosomal RNA (571 nucleotides) under uncultured Actinomycetes bacterium. RNAcentral's name for it is "bacterial SSU rRNA". It matches the Rfam family "Bacterial small subunit ribosomal RNA", at positions 337 to 917 of the family's 1533-position model. Lineage: Bacteria; Bacillati; Actinomycetota; Actinomycetes. The record is from RNAcentral.